RNAcentral lists this unclassified non-coding RNA (295 nucleotides) under uncultured Sebacina. RNAcentral describes it as "sequence contains ITS2". The record is from RNAcentral. Lineage: Eukaryota; Fungi; Basidiomycota; Agaricomycetes; Sebacinales; Sebacinaceae.
AACGCACCUUGCACCCUUUGGUAUCCCCAAAGGGUAUGCUCGUUUGAGUGUCAUUGUAACCUCACACUUCUGGUCUUUGGAUUGGGAGCGGUGGACUUGGGUGUUGCUGCUUUACCGCGGCUCGCCUUAAAUGCAUUAGUGCAUCUCCGGAUUGGACAUAGUACAGCGUGAUAGAUAUCUUCGCUGGCACCUUACUUCAAGGGUGGCUGAUCCAGAGCUCUGUGCUUUCAAACCGUCUUCGGACAAUGACUGACAACUUGGCCUCAAAUCGAGUAGGACUACCCGCUGAACUUAA